CAGUCCGCGGUAAUACGGAGGGGGCUAGCGUUGUUCGGAAUUACUGGGCGUAAAGCGCACGUAGGCGGCUUGGUAAGUUAGAGGUGAAAGCCUGGAGCUCAACUCCAGAAUUGCCUUUAAGACUGCCGAGCUAGCAGGUGAGAGAGGUAAGUGGAAUUCCGAGUGUAGAGGUGAAAUUCGUAGAUAUUCGGAAGAACACCAGUGGCGAAGGCGGCUUACUGGCUCAUACUGGACGCUGAGAUGCGAAAGCGUGGGGAGCAAACAGGAUUAGAUACCCCAGUAGUCCCUGUCUCUUAUACAC
Molecule: ribosomal RNA, 301 nt
Filed under: uncultured bacterium
Lineage: Bacteria
Description: partial 16S ribosomal RNA
Rfam family: Bacterial small subunit ribosomal RNA
Source: RNAcentral